RNAcentral lists this ribosomal RNA (492 nucleotides) under uncultured bacterium. RNAcentral describes it as "partial 16S ribosomal RNA". It matches the Rfam family "Bacterial small subunit ribosomal RNA", at positions 29 to 507 of the family's 1533-position model. The record is from RNAcentral.
AGUGAACGCUGGCGGUAGGCCUAACACAUGCAAGUCGAACGGCAGCACAGUAAGAGCUUGCUCUUACGGGUGGCGAGUGGCGGACGGGUGCUGAAUACAUCGGAAUCUACUUUUUCGUGGGGGAUAACGUAGGGAAACUUACGCUAAUACCGCAUACGACCUACGUGUGAAAGCAGGGGAUCUUCCGACCUUACGCGAUUGAAUGUGCCGAUGUCGGAUUUGCUAGUUGGCGGGGUAACGGCCCACCAAGGCGACGAUCCGUAGCUGGGCUGAGAGGAUGGUCAAGUACCACUGAAAUUAAGACCGGUCCAGACCCCUUAGGGAAGGAACAGGGGGGAAUUUUUGAACAUGGGCGCAAGCCUGAUCCAGCCAUAGCGGGUGGGGGGAAGAGGCCCUCCGGUUGGAAAACCCUUUUGUUGGGAAAGAAAGGCAGCAGGUUAAUAACCCGCUGGUCUGACGGUACCCAAAGGAUAAGCACCGGCUAACUUCGUG